UAGGGAAUCUUCCGCAAUGGGCGAAAGCCUGACGGAGCAACGCCGCGUGAGUGAUGAAGGUCUUCGGAUCGUAAAACUCUGUUAUUAGGGAAGAACAAAUGUGUAAGUAACUAUGCACGUCUUGACGGUACCUAAUCAGAAAGCCACGGCUAACUACGUGCCAGCAGCCGCGGUAAUACGUAGGUGGCAAGCGUUAUCCGGAAUUAUUGGGCGUAAAGCGCGCGUAGGCGGUUUUUUAAGUCUGAUGUGAAAGCCCACGGCUCAACCCUGGAGGGUCAUUGGAAACUGGAGAACUUGAGCGCAGAAGAGGAAAGUGGAAUUCCAUGUGUAGCGGUGAAAUGCGCAGAGAUAUGGAGGAACACCAGUGGCGAAGGCGACUUUCUGGUCUGUAACUGACGCUGAUGUGCGAAAGCGUGGGGAUCAAACAGG
This 429-nucleotide ribosomal RNA is filed under the name Bacteroidota bacterium. RNAcentral describes it as "Bacteroidetes bacterium partial 16S ribosomal RNA". It matches the Rfam family "Bacterial small subunit ribosomal RNA", at positions 355 to 776 of the family's 1533-position model. Lineage: Bacteria; Pseudomonadati; Bacteroidota. The record is from RNAcentral.